Molecule: transfer RNA, 72 nt
Organism: Ipomoea nil (Japanese morning glory)
Lineage: Eukaryota; Viridiplantae; Streptophyta; Magnoliopsida; Solanales; Convolvulaceae
Rfam family: tRNA
About the family: Transfer RNA (tRNA) molecules are approximately 80 nucleotides in length. Their secondary structure includes four short double-helical elements and three loops (D, anti-codon, and T loops).
Source: Rfam
GUUUUCUUAGCUUAGUGGUAGAGUGCGUGGCUUUUAACCAUGAGGUCGUGGGUUUGAUCCCCACAGACGGUG